AGAGUUUGAUUCUGGCUCAGAACGAACGCUGGCGGCAUGCCUAACACAUGCAAGUCGAACGAGACCUUCGGGUCUAGUGGCGCACGGGUGCGUAACGCGUGGGAAUCUGCCCUUGGGUUCGGAAUAACUCGCCGAAAGGCGUGCUAAUACCGGAUGAUGUCGUAAGACCAAAGAUUUAUCGCCCAGGGAUGAGCCCGCGUAAGAUUAGGUAGUUGGUGAGGUAAAGGCUCACCAAGCCGACGAUCUUUAGCUGGUCUGAGAGGAUGAUCAGCCACACUGGGACUGAGACACGGCCCAGACUCCUACGGGAGGCAGCAGUGGGGAAUAUUGGACAAUGGGCGAAAGCCUGAUCCAGCAAUGCCGCGUGAGUGAUGAAGGCCUUAGGGUUGUAAAGCUCUUUUACCCGGGAUGAUAAUGACAGUACCGGGAGAAUAAGCUCCGGCUAACUCCGUGCCAGCAGCCGCGGUAAUA
This 471-nucleotide ribosomal RNA is filed under the name uncultured Alphaproteobacteria bacterium. Its description in RNAcentral is "bacterial SSU rRNA". It matches the Rfam family "Bacterial small subunit ribosomal RNA", at positions 8 to 525 of the family's 1533-position model. Lineage: Bacteria; Pseudomonadati; Pseudomonadota; Alphaproteobacteria. The record is from RNAcentral.